RNAcentral lists this ribosomal RNA (938 nucleotides) under Escherichia coli. RNAcentral's name for it is "bacterial SSU rRNA". It matches the Rfam family "Bacterial small subunit ribosomal RNA", at positions 44 to 991 of the family's 1533-position model. The record is from RNAcentral. Lineage: Bacteria; Pseudomonadati; Pseudomonadota; Gammaproteobacteria; Enterobacterales; Enterobacteriaceae.
GGGCUCACAUGCAAUCGAACGGUAACAGGAAACAGCUUGCUCUUCGCUGACGAGUGGCGGACGGGUGAGUAAUGUCUGGGAAACUGCCUGAUGGAGGGGGAUAACUACUGGAAACGGUAGCUAAUACCGCAUAACGUCGCAAGACCAAAGAGGGGGACCUUCGGGCCUCUUGCCAUCGGAUGUGCCCAGAUGGGAUUAGCUAGUAGGUGGGGUAACGGCUCACCUAGGCGACGAUCCCUAGCUGGUCUGAGAGGAUGACCAGCCACACUGGAACUGAGACACGGUCCAGACUCCUACGGGAGGCAGCAGUGGGGAAUAUUGCACAAUGGGCGCAAGCCUGAUGCAGCCAUGCCGCGUGUAUGAAGAAGGCCUUCGGGUUGUAAAGUACUUUCAGCGGGGAGGAAGGGAGUAAAGUUAAUACCUUUGCUCAUUGACGUUACCCGCAGAAGAAGCACCGGCUAACUCCGUGCCAGCAGCCGCGGUAAUACGGAGGGUGCAAGCGUUAAUCGGAAUUACUGGGCGUAAAGCGCACGCAGGCGGUUUGUUAAGUCAGAUGUGAAAUCCCCGGGCUCAACCUGGGAACUGCAUCUGAUACUGGCAAGCUUGAGUCUCGUAGAGGGGGGUAGAAUUCCAGGUGUAGCGGUGAAAUGCGUAGAGAUCUGGGGAAUACCGGUGGCGAAGGCGGCCCCCUGGACGAAGACUGACGCUCAUGUGCGAAAGCGUGGGGAGCAAACAGGAUUAAAUACCCUGGUAGUCCACGCCAUAUACGAUGUCUACUUGGAGGUUGUGCCCUUGAUGCUUGGCUUCCGAGCUAACGCGUUAAUUCUACCGCCUGGGGACUACGGCCGAGUGUUAAGACUCAAAUGAAUUGAGGUGGCCCGCAGAAGUCGUGGAGCAGGUUAAUUCGAUGCACCGCUUACCUGCCGGCUGAAUUGGGU